Camellia sinensis is the source of this 1645-nucleotide long non-coding RNA. RefSeq lists it as uncharacterized. The record is from RefSeq and is a predicted model, not a curated record. NCBI's taxonomy places the organism in Eukaryota, Viridiplantae, Streptophyta, Magnoliopsida, Ericales, Theaceae.
UUGAGAUAGUGCAAUGGAAUGGAAUAGAAUGAUUAACCGCCAUCAGUUGAAGCUUCCCAAAUGGCAAUGCCGAACCUUCCAGAAGAGAUCAUCCUCGACAUACUCUUGAGACUCCCAAUCACCUCUCUAGGUGCGUUUCGAAGCCAUGGCUCUCUCUUCUCCAAUCGUCAUUUCAUCAAAACCCACCUCAAACUCACUCGCAACACCAACGACGAAAACGAACACAAGCGAUUCAUUCUCGUUUUUAGAUCCUGCAUCUCCCAAUCCGUGGAUUUCAAAUCAUUCCAUUCCCGCGACAAUUUCGUGGCCGUUGGCCUCAAAUUCCCCCAAACCAAAACCCUAAUUGUAGGGAGAUUUCUGGUUCCUGUGAUGGCUUGUUAUUGAUGCUCAAUCGCUAUAACUCUUACUUUUUGGUGAACCCAUCUACUGGACAAUCUAGAAAAUUACCCGAAUCUCCUUUUUCAAUCGAGUAUAAAUAUUGUUUAGAUAGUUAUGGGUUUGAUUAUGAUUACAAAGUUGUGAGGAUUAUUGAUUAUGAAUAUGAUUGCAAUAUUGUUGAUAAUAUAGUCACUGUGUAUAAUCUGAGAACCAAUUCAUGGAGAAGGAUUAAGGAUUGUAGUUAUUUGCUUAUGGGUCUUCACCGGGGAUUCUAAUUAGCGGGGCUCUCCACUGGUUAGUGAGUAGUCGCGUGCAUUCAAAUAAGGCGGAUGUAAUUGCUUUACUUGAUUUAUGAGACAAAAAAUUUCUGCAUUUGCCAUCUCCUUGUUCUUCUGAUAAUGAAUUGAACCUAUAUCCCGAGCUUUGUGUUGUUCAAGGGUGCCUAUAUUUGCUUGUUUCUCAUGAUGAUGAUCGUAAAGAUGUUUGGGUGAUGAAAGAUUACGGUGUGAGGGAUUCUUGGACUGAAAUUACAAUCGAUUUUAGUGAUUUUUCUUUUGGAGGCCGUUGUGUUUAUCAACCACAGGCGAAUUUUUGUUGGAUAUGCACGCAAAUAAGCUAGUCUUCUACAAUCCGCAGGAGAAGGAAUCUAAGGAACUAGUGGUUCGAGGUAGGCUAAAUCAUUUUGGUGUCGGAACUUAUGUUGAGAGCCUUGCUUCACCCAAUUGCAGCAAUAUGAUCAAGAGCCAAUGCAGCCAAUGCCAAGCAUCGCAUACAAGAUUACUACUGGAUGGGCAACAUGAAUGAUUGAACUAAACUGUCUUUUGUCAUUCAAUUUUACUUUUAUAUGUCUAUUUUGCUGCAUUGUUGUCUCUUUUUUAUUGAUGUUAAGUAGAAUAGUGUGAGUUUAUAUUGUUAACAUAGAAUUUUUGCUUAAAUGGAUUCAAGUGGCUAGGUUCAAAUUCCCGUGGUUGGUGUGCUUGCUUCGAUUGUCAGAUAGAGAGAGCCAGAUAAACAAAAUAAGGGCUCCCCAAGCAUGGACUGAAGCAUGUAAAGCCAAGGCUGAAGCAUAUUUGUCAAAGGCAAAGAGAUAGAGGCUGGAUGUCCAGUUCCAAGACUGAUGUCUAUAGUUCUAUCACCUUGUGUCUGUGUCACACUUUCUGGUGGUGAAUAUGUUAGCUUUGGUUGAUGAUGGCAUGCUUCUGUAUUGCUGUUCAUGCUAUGGAUUGAAUUUGUCAAACCACAAAAUGAUGGUUGUUUACCAUUUUAA